This 318-nucleotide ribosomal RNA is filed under the name Triticum aestivum (bread wheat). RNAcentral describes it as "partial small subunit ribosomal RNA". Lineage: Eukaryota; Viridiplantae; Streptophyta; Magnoliopsida; Poales; Poaceae. The record is from RNAcentral.
AUGACCUUAUUGCCGACAAACAGAGCCACCAGUUGCAAGUACCCUAUUGCUGACCAACCUGUGGUAACUGUCCAGUCGCAGCACAACCUCAAUCAGCACUAUCCCCAGUCCAUAUUACACCGUUCUGACCACCAGCAUUCACAUCAUCAGCAGUGCUCUCGUCGUGAGGGCUACAUAUUAAAGAAUGAGAUUGAUUGUUUGAGUAGUACUGCUUACAUGCAAGCUCAACGUAGUCGCAUCCACAUAUACCGUUGUAAACAUAUUACAAGGUUAUUUAUGUGCAUGCAAUCAACUAAGCUAACCAACUUUGAAAGGUGA